RNAcentral lists this ribosomal RNA (667 nucleotides) under uncultured fungus. Its description in RNAcentral is "eukaryotic LSU rRNA". It matches the Rfam family "Eukaryotic large subunit ribosomal RNA", at positions 24 to 664 of the family's 3401-position model. Lineage: Eukaryota; Fungi. The record is from RNAcentral.
CCCGCUGAACUUAAGCAUAUCAAUAAGCGGAGGAAAAGAAACUAACAAGGAUUCCCCUAGUAACUGCGAGUGAAGCGGGAAAAGCUCAAAUUUAAAAUCUGGUGGUCUUUGGCCAUCCGAGUUGUAAUUUAGAGAAGUGUCUUCCGCGCUGGACCAUGCACAAGUCUCCUGGAAUGGAGCGUCAUAGAGGGUGAGAAUCCCGUCUUUGGCAUGGACACACCAGGGCUUCUGUGAUGCGCUCUCGAAGAGUCGAGUUGUUUGGGAAUGCAGCUCAAAAUGGGUGGUGAACUCCAUCUAAAGCUAAAUAUUGGCGAGAGACCGAUAGCGAACAAGUACCGUGAGGGAAAGAUGAAAAGCACUUCGGAAAGAGAGUGAAACAGUACGUGAAAUUGUUGAAAGGGAAACGCUUGAAGUCAGUCGCGUCGACCGAGACUCAGCCUCGCCUUGGCUUGGUGUACUUCUCGGCUGACGGGUCAGUGUCAAUUUUGGGCCUCGGAUAAUGACAAGGGAAAGGUGGCACCUUUAUAGGUGUGUUAUAGUCUCCUGUCGGAUGCGAGGGUCGGGAUUGAGGAACUCAGCACGCGCCUUUUGGUGUCGGGGCUUCGGCCUACGCUACGUGCUUAGGAUGCUGGCAUAAUGGCUUUAAACGACCCGUCUUGAAACACGG